UACGAAGGGGCUAGCGUUGCUCGGAAUCACUGGGCGUAAAGGGUGCGUAGGCGGGUUUUAAGUCAGGGUGAAAUCCUGGAGCUCAACUCCAGAACUGCCUUUGAUACUGAAGAUCUUGAGUCCGGGAGAGGUGAGUGGAACUGCGAGUGUAGAGGUGAAAUUCGUAGAUAUUCGCAAGAACACCAGUGGCGAAGGCGGCUCACUGGCCCGGUACUGACGCUGAGGCACGAAAGCGUGGGAGCAAACAGG
Molecule: ribosomal RNA, 249 nt
Filed under: uncultured bacterium
Lineage: Bacteria
Description: partial 16S ribosomal RNA
Rfam family: Bacterial small subunit ribosomal RNA
Source: RNAcentral